CUACGGGUUGCUCCAGUGGGGAAUAUUGCACAAUGGACGAAAGUCUGAUGCAGCAACGCCGCGUGGAGGAUGACACAUUUCGGUGCGUAAACUCCUUUUAUAUAGGAAGAUAAUGACGGUACUAUAUGAAUAAGCACCGGCUAACUCCGUGCCAGCAGCCGCGGUAAUACGGAGGGUGCAAGCGUUACUCGGAAUCACUGGGCGUAAAGAGCGUGUAGGCGGGUAGUUAAGUCAGAAGUGAAAUCCAAUAGCUCAACUAUUGAACUGCUUUUGAAACUGAUUACCUAGAAUAUGGGAGAGGUAGAUGGAAUUUCUGGUGUAGGGGUAAAAUCCGUAGAGAUCAGAAGGAAUACCGAUUGCGAAGGCGAUCUACUGGAACAUUAUUGACGCUGAGACGCGAAAGCGUGGGGAGCAAACAGGAUUAGAUACCCCCGUAGUC
This 439-nucleotide ribosomal RNA is filed under the name uncultured bacterium. Its description in RNAcentral is "partial 16S ribosomal RNA". It matches the Rfam family "Bacterial small subunit ribosomal RNA", at positions 339 to 795 of the family's 1533-position model. The record is from RNAcentral.